GACGAACGCUGGCGGCGUGCUUAACACAUGCAAGUCGAACGGAAAGGCCCUGCUUUUGUGGGGUGCUCGAGUGGCGAACGGGGGAGUAACACGUGAGUAACCUGCCCUUGACUUUGGGAUAACUUCAGGAAACUGGGGCUAAUACCGGAUAGGAGCUCCUGCUGCAUGGUGGGGGUUGGAAAGUUUCGGCGGUUGGGGAUGGACUCGCGGCUUAUCAGCUUGUUGGUGGGGUAGUGGCUUACCAAGGCUUUGACGGGUAGCCGGCCUGAGAGGGUGACCGGCCACAUUGGGACUGCGGUACGGCCCAGACUCCUACGGGCGGCAGCAGUGGGGAAUAUUGCACAGUGGGCGGAAGCCUGAUGCAGCGACGCCGCGUGCGGGAUGACGGCCUUCGGGUUGUAAACCGCUUUCGCCUGUGACGAAGCGUGAGUGACGGUAAUGGGUAAAGAAGCACCGGCUAACUACGUG
RNAcentral lists this ribosomal RNA (468 nucleotides) under uncultured bacterium. RNAcentral describes it as "partial 16S ribosomal RNA". It matches the Rfam family "Bacterial small subunit ribosomal RNA", at positions 28 to 507 of the family's 1533-position model. The record is from RNAcentral.